Molecule: ribosomal RNA, 497 nt
Filed under: uncultured bacterium
Lineage: Bacteria
Description: partial 16S ribosomal RNA
Rfam family: Bacterial small subunit ribosomal RNA
Source: RNAcentral
GAUGAACGCUGGCGGCGUGCCUAAUACAUGCAAGUCGAGCGAACAGACGAGGAGCUUGCUCCUCUGACGUUAGCGGCGGACGGGUGAGUAACACGUGGAUCACCUACCUAUAAGACUGGGGUAACUUCGGGAGACCGGAGCUAAUAACGGAUAAUAUAUUGAACCGCAUGGUUCAAUAGUGAAUGACGGUUUUGCUGUCACUUAUAGAUGGAUCCGCGUCGCAUUAGCUAGUUGGUAAGGUAACGGCUCACCAAGGCAACGAUGCGUAGCCGAUCUGAGAGGGUGAUCAGCCACACUGGAACUGAGACACGGUCCAGACUCCUACGGGAGGCAGCAGUGGGGAAUCUUGGGCAAUGGGCGAAAGCCUGACCCAGCCACACCGCGUGAGUGAUGAAGGCCUUCGGAUCGUAAAGCUCUGUUAUUAGGAAAGAACAGCUGCGGAAUAAUCCAUGCCCGUCUUGACGGUACCUAAUGAGAAAGCACCGGCUAACUUCGUG